GGCGCAUUCGUCUAAUGGCUAGGACACCAGGUUUUCAGUCUGGGGACAGGAGUUCGAUUCUCCUAUGCGCUA
RNAcentral lists this transfer RNA (72 nucleotides) under Candidatus Scalindua sp. RNAcentral describes it as "tRNA-Glu". It matches the Rfam family "tRNA". Rfam says of the family: Transfer RNA (tRNA) molecules are approximately 80 nucleotides in length. Their secondary structure includes four short double-helical elements and three loops (D, anti-codon, and T loops). Lineage: Bacteria; Pseudomonadati; Planctomycetota; Candidatus Brocadiia; Candidatus Brocadiales; Candidatus Scalinduaceae. The record is from RNAcentral.